Molecule: long non-coding RNA, 5214 nt
Filed under: Malus domestica (apple)
Lineage: Eukaryota; Viridiplantae; Streptophyta; Magnoliopsida; Rosales; Rosaceae
Description: long non-coding RNA (MDOM_LNC013440)
Source: RNAcentral
AAAGUUUAAUACAUUAAGUAUUCCAAAAAGCUAUUACAUCAAAUGAGUGGCUUUGUGGGCAUACUUCCAACAGGUGGAGGGGAAGAGAAGACAUCACUCUUCGUCGGUGUGCAUCCGGUAUGCCAUGGUGGACUCAAAGAGGUUAAGGUGUUCAAUCGGGUCCUCCUUUCCAGUAUAGAGUUGCAAGCCAAGCUUCUGUUUUGUCUUUGCUUGGAGGGGUGUCGAGGAUCCUCCUUGUAAGAGGGCCAGGCCUAGGUUGGUUCCAAUCAGGUAUCUUAGCUUGUCGUUCAGCCUUCAACUUGUUUACUUCCUUAAGAAGCUGUAGGAAGAAGGUCAUGAGUGCAGUCAUGUACCACUGGAGCUUUUUUUCAUAAAUCUCCAUCUCCUUUUAGAAGUAGGAAGGUUUGAUUAAGAGCAUGUGAUUUUUCCCUAAACUCGCUGUACUGACUUUCAAGGUAUGUCUGUCGAAACAUCUCUGAGUCCUCUAUACCUUCGUGUUUCUCUAGGACUUGUUGCCCCUUCCCUAAAUUGGUAGCUGACCUGGGACGUGGGAGGGGACCGAGUCUUUCAGAAACCCUUGGUUCAUUGCUCUUCGAGCUUAUGUAAAAGGGAUUCUCUCAACAUUGCUUUAGGAAGUCUCGGCAGUCACGAUAAACGGCUUUCAAUCCUUCCAACCUUUCUGCAAAUAGGUGUUUUCGUCCACUUCUCCUGCUUCAGGUCGAAGCAGCUGGGUUGAGAGAAGUCUCAUGUUGAUCAAUGUUUUGAUGAUUAGCUCGCUCCUCAUCAGGGAUACCCAUGUCGAAGGAAGGUGACCCUCCUUGUUGGGAGGCAUCCAGAUGAUUGUUGAUGUCCACAAGGGUAACGAGUUCGCGUGUUUGAGUACGCCUAGUUCAUGGAGCAUCUCAAAGAGCUUCUCAUACUACUUCUGGAGGACCUCAGUCUUCAUUGCUAUCUUGUUGUUUUGAGAUUCUAGCUCAUCGACUUUAGCUUGAAGAGCAACCCUUUUUCCUUCCUUCUUUCGUUGCUUCGCACUAAGUGCAAGAGGGGUGUCAUUCUGUGUGCUGUGGCUUCCUUCGCUCCCCAUGUUGGAGAGGGAUGCAUGGUCAAAAGAGAGUGUACGAAUGGUGGAAACCAGCUUAACAAAGCUGAAGAGAGUGAGAAUAAGUGCCAUUCCCACAGACGGCGCCAAAUGUUGAUGCACAAAAUGAGUGAGGACUUUGGUACAACAUAAAUUGUUAAGUUUGUGAUCUUCGCUAGAUUACUCCAAUCACUAGUGUGGAUAAGUAUGUAAAUGGAUAGAUAUAGGGAAGCAAACACAAGAUGUACGUCGUUCACCCAGAUUGGCUACGUUUACGGAGUAGAGGAGUUCUCAUUAAUUGUGAAGGGUUUACACAAGUACAUAGGUUCAAGCUCUCCUUUAGUGAGUACAAGUGAAUGAUUUAGUACAAAUGACAUUAGGAAAUAUUGUGAGAGAAUGAUCUCUAUUUAUAGAAGAGAAUUUCUAGUUUCAUUCUGACAUUUACACGUGUCGUGUUGUGAUUGGCUUCUGAUGUUGACACGUGUCGUGCUAUGAUUGGUUUCUGAUGUCGACAUAUAUCGGGCUGUGAUUGGCCUCCUGGUUGGAGGGAAACUCUUCUGUGUCCUUGACGAUAUAACGUUGACCGGUGCUCAGUAGUUUUGGGAUUGGUCAAGUAUGGUACAAACAAUAUUAUUUUAGGCCCAAACACAACUUUUAAGGUAAGUUUCUACGUGACAUCCACUUUAAAAGUGUGACCAAAACCUAAUACACAAGUAGAGGAAAAGAUUUUGUUUUUGGACGAGUAGGAAAGUUGGAAAUAGAGGCUUCCUUGCAAGUUGGUAACAUCAUUUCUGGUAGUCUUUACCAAAAAAAGAAAAAUUUAAUUUGGUAGGAAUUUGAAUUAAAUAGGAGCUCUCUUAUUUUAAGAAAAAGUAUACAUCUCUUGUAUUUCUUUUUAUUUUUUAAUUUUUUUUUGUCAAACAUCUCUUGUGUUUCUAAGAAAGGAUAUUAAUUGACCAAAAAAGACAAGGAUAUUAAAGCACCGAAACGUCAUGUCGCAAGAACAAAAUUAUCAAAUUGCCCAUUGGAACGGAAGCCCAUAGUAAUAUAAAUAUCGAUACGGGGAAUUAUUAAUAUGUAAAUUUGUGGAUUAUAAAUAGGUAUAUUGAAUAUUGGUUGCUUUCAAUUAAAAUUAUAGAAAUUUAAAAUGAAAUUAUAAGGAUUCUCAAACAUUACUUUGGAUGAAAUAUAAGAGUUUCUCCAUGUGUUAGAAAUAUCGAUGAUAUGUGUUGAUUUUAGCCUAAAUUUAAGAGUUUUCGGAUAUGAGAUUAAGUUUAAACUUCACACCCUAGUUUCAUUUCUUUCUUUGAUUUUUUAAAUAUUUUCAUAUAACUAUCAAUCGUAUCCAAGAAAUUUUAAACACUGAUAUACAAUUCACCCCGCUCCUGCAAUGUAUAUCCACUCCACAAGUAUAAAACUUUCCAUUUCCUUUCUAUUUUUUCUGAACAUUUUCGAUUCUAAUUUUCUCCCCAAUCCAUAGUAAAUAAACAAAAUAAUUUUUAUCACAAAUGGUUUUAAAAUUUACCUAUCUUAUCAAGAUGGUAUCUGAAAUUAAAAAUCGAUUAAUGUAAUUGUAGACAUCGAAAUUUCGUAAAUAAAUGUUGACCGGUAAAUCAAAGUGUCAACGCUCAUGUAUUACAUAAAUUUUACACGUAGCGUGUGACUCAACGAAAAUUGAAAUGAGUUGGAAAAGUCAUCAAAUAGGACACGUGUCAACACCUGGCAGAAACGACUUAUUUCAUCUGGGAUAUUAUAUUCAAAAUUAGGCCUUGGAAAAUUCUAUAAAUACAAGCCUAUUUCAUUCAUUUUAAGGGGACCAAUUCAUAUUACACCUUGAAGCUUUGAAGCUCUGAAACUCCGAAGCUCUCAAGCAUCCAGGCUCCCGAAGAAUCAAGAAAGCUCUAUUCGUUCUUCGUUCAUCGUUCAUCCAAGAUCAAGCCCCAACGGCCCUUUGGAUCAACAAUCAUCCACCUUCAAGAUCAAGCCCCGACGGCCCUUGAAGAAAGCACCAUCGUUCGUUCAUCGUUCAUCCAAGAUCAAGCCCCAACGGCCUUUUGGAUCAACAAUCAUCCACCUUCAAGAUCAAGCCCCGACGACCCUUGAAGAAAGCAUCAUCGUUCAUCAUCCGUUCAUCCAAGAUCAAGCCCCAACGGCCCUUUGGAUCAACAAUCAUCCACCUUCAAGAUCAAGCCCCGACGGCCCUUGAAGAAAGUGUUCUUCGUUCAUCGUUCUUCCAGGAUCAAGCCCCAACGGCCCUUUGGAUCAACGAACGUCGACAAAUCCACACAUCCAACCGUUCUUCAAGAUUAAGCCCAAAAGCCCUUGAAGAUCUGUUCAUCACUGUUUCUUCAAGAUCAAGCCCAAAAGCCCUUGAAGAUCCGCUCAAAUCCACCUUCAAAGAUCAAGCCCACGGCUCUUUGAAGAAACUUCCAACAGUUCAUCCAAGAUCAAGCCUCGACGGCCCCUUGGAUCAACGAAACAUCCACAAAUCAAUACCUUACGGAGAUCGAAUCAGAGGAUCAAAAUAGAGAGAGAUUGUAACCCAAAAUCAUCAAAUACAAAUAUUUGUUUGUGCGCGUUGUUCUUGUCUCUUUCGUUUCAGGAAUUUUCCGUGUUCACAAAUUGGCACGCCCAGUGGGACAAUCUCUACCUCUCAUCUCUUUCUCCGUUCAAGGAAUCCAAGCACACCUCAAAGUCAAUGGCAUCAAGCAACGGACAAGCCGUUCUUGCAACCACUGAAGGAAGGAUCCUAAGCACUUCUGCCGCAAACGGACAAUCCAUUGGCGCCACGACCGCUCCUCAACAUGCCACUUCAAAAUUGGUGCCGCUAAAAGAGCAAGGGGAGCAUCCAAGGUGUGAGUCUGUCAUCAACCUGACCUCGCUGGGGGCACCGAAGCAUGAUGCUGAGGCACAUAAGAUGACAUCCCAAAGCAGCCAACGACGUUCUUCAUCAGCAUCCUGGAUGUCUAAAGGAAAGUCACGUCUAUUGGUCGCACAAGUCAUGACUAUCGGCGUUACCUCCGUUGAAGAACAACUGGCUCAGAUGAAUGAAGCAAUCGCAAGGCUAACCCGAACUGUGGAAGAAAAAGACUUGCAAAUCGCUGCACUCGUCAGCCGACUGGAGCCACAGGACAACGAGAACCCUAACCCAGAAGAUGAGCCUCAGGUGGAGAAAAACGAUGCGAAGCCGGAGCCAGACCAAGCAGCGGCACUCAUGAGAUCUCUUUCUAUCCAGCAGCUGCACGAGAUGAUCACCAACACCAUCAAGGCACAGUACGAAGGGAGCUCAAAUACCUCCGGGUUGUACUCAAAGCCGUAUUCAAAGAAGAUCGACGCCUUAAGGAUGCCGAGGGGUUAUCAACCACCAAAAUUCAUGCAAUUUGAUGGAAAGGGAAACCCGAAACAGCACGUUGCCCACUUCGUUGAAACUUGCAACAACGCGGGGACGGAGGGAGACUACCUCGCCAAGCAGUUUGUGCGCUCGCUGAAAGGAAAUGCCUUUGAGUGGUACACGGACCUAGAGCCCGAGUCCAUCAACAGCUGGGAGCAAUUAGAGCGGGAAUUCCUCAACCGCUUCUAUAGCACCCGCCGCACUGUGAGCAUGCUAGAGCUGACGAGCACGAAGCAAUGGAAGGAAGAACCAGUCAUGGACUACAUCAACCGAUGGCGUAAUCUAAGCCUCGACUGUAAGGACAGACUCUCCGAGAUUUCUUCAAUCGAGAUGUGCAUCCAAGGCAUGCAAUGGGGUUUGCAAUACAUCCUUCAAGGCAUUAAACCGCGGACCUUCGAGGAAUUGGCUACUCGCGCCCAUGACAUGGAGUUGAGCAUCGCCCAUCAUGGGAAGAAAGAACCGAUCGCCGACUACAAGAAUGACAAAGUUCUUGGGACAAAGGUGGAAAAGGCCGCAUGGAAACCCACCAAGGAAGCGAUGACGGUCAACACAGCUCCCGUCAAAAUCUCCACACGAGGCAAGGCGAUUCAAACCGAAGCUUUUCGUGAUCAAGAGAUGCGUAGACGCACUUUGAAGGAGCUUGAGGAGAAGAUUUAUCCAUUCCCCAACUCUGAUGUAGUUGCCAUGCUGGAUGACCUGUUGGACAAGAAGGUGAUCAGUUUGCCUGAGUGCAGACGGCCGGAAG